GGAACCGGGCACGGGCGGAGGCUGCGGCCACCCAGGGGGCUCGAGGGGUCGGGGACGGGAGCGGAGCGGAGCCCGGCGCCCUCCCGCAGCCGCCUCACCGCACACGGGCGGCAGCGCCGAGCGGGACCCGGCGGCGCCGCACGCCCAAAAUGGCGGCGCGAAGCGCGGCCGGAACGUGCUGCCCGGGAACGCGCGUGCGCAGCGGCACCGCCCGGCACUUUCUCUCCUCGGACGUGCGGCUCAGGAGAGUCCAGGGUGAGCGCUGGGGCCGCCGGUUCGAGUCCCGGUGCCGCCUUCCUGCGGGCGCUGCGGCCUGGCCCGCUUUCCCUGUCGAGUUGAGCUUUACUUGUUUGUUCCCGUGCUUGCUUCUUGUUGUUUUAACUUUGCGUUUGCACGUGUCGUGUUUUUGGGAUGUCACGUGAGAAAAGUGCCCGAGGGUCACAGAAGUUACUGGAGCUGCCUGAAGAGGAUUCAAGAGCUCUUACUCUUUCCCAUUAGCAAAAACAAAUUCUCUAGGCUGAGAAAGGUACAUCUUAACAGAGGGCAAGGUGCUGACCCACUUGUUUUUGCAUGUGAGCCAUCAUGUUUAUCAGGGUCAAGACUUUGUAAGAGCUACUCAGAACAAAGGUUAUAGAAGUCUAUCACUGAUGGAACUUCAAUUUCAUGUUUCUGGGCUUGAUAUCUACAUUGGAAAAUGUCAAGUAGGCAUAAAACUGUCAGAUCUCAGAAGUGAGGUCCUUCAAUAACAUUCAAGCCAUGAAGAGUCACUAUAGGUCGUUGGAAGCAAUCAGGAAGCAUGUAACAGCCCAAAGCAGAAAUCAGUGUUGCAAUAUCCCAGAACAUCCUAAUCAAAUACUUCAGCAAACUUGCAAAACCUACUCAGUGUUUACAUUUGAAUUGCAGAUGUUUUAAAAUGCUGCUGCAACUACACAAUCCACAUUGAUUAAUACUAGAUCUCGGGGGGUUUUCCCAGUGUUGUGUACUAUGAAAAUAAUGUGGCUAACUCUGAGUUGUCCUCUUUUUCACUUUCUUGAACUUUGAAAAUUCUGUGGUGUUUUCCUUCCUUGUCAUUAUUGCGAGGAACUCAUUAAGUAGUUUUGCUGUUUUAUCUCAUAUGGAAGGUUAACAAACUUUAGUAAGUAAUUUUUAUAUUUCAUUGAUAAAAAUAAAAUACAAUUGAAAC
Passer montanus (Eurasian tree sparrow) is the source of this 1183-nucleotide long non-coding RNA. RefSeq lists it as uncharacterized. The record is from RefSeq and is a predicted model, not a curated record. The transcript has 3 exons. Lineage: Eukaryota; Metazoa; Chordata; Aves; Passeriformes; Passeridae.